GUAUAAUAGGUGGCUUACCCUUUUACUUAUAUUUCUGUGUCUUAACCUUUUUUUUUGUAUUAUAGUAUGCCGCUAAAAAGAUCUCGUGGUAGGGAGUCUGUGGAGGAGGAGGGACGGUCCUUGGAUCUGCCGUCCAGGCGAUAUGACCUUCGUGAGAGAGUCAGGGGUAGGUGGGUGAGGAAGGAUGUGGUCGAGUGUUCCUGAAUUAUGUCGGAGACUGGAUCGAGCGAUACGGUUGCUGAUUUUGGUCUUGCAGGGAUAGCUGCUAUGCCAGAGCGGAUUAUCCGGGAGGAUGUGCAGAUAAGGGAUGGGAUGAUGAUCGAUUCGGAUUGUGAGGAUGAUUUUGUGAUCACGGGAGUGAGGACGGUGGAGCAGAAGCUGGCUUCGGAGGGACAUGAAAUCGUGAUGGUCCAUGACUAUGUGAGUGUUUCCUCGAAAAGUUCUGCCUCGCCAUCCUUUGCACUUAGCCUAUAUUCACCAAUAUCCUAUGAGUCAGAUCCGAAGGAGGAUCAGGAUCCACCGAUUUCUCCAUACGUCCCGGAGGCUGUUGAUCACUCUCCCGAUAGCCCUUUUGCACUGUUAUGGGAGGGCACGUCCCCCAUACUCCGUUUCGAGGCUGAUAUGAGGGCUGACGCUAUUCCGACCUUUGAUGGGGGCUUCACAUCGGGUAUCAAGAUACUGUUCUGCUUCAUCUGUGGCGAGGAUGGUCAUUACCCGCAAGACUGUCAGUUCUACACGCAGUACAUCCCAUGGCCAUUGCUUGUCUCUACUGUGGAGAGUAUGAGCAUUAUGCGGCUACCUGUAUGCUGAUGAGAGAUGACGGUCAGAUUCUUGCACCGACGUAUACUUCCCUAUCUCACGUAGCAGGACCAUCAUCCCCAUUGAUUCCCAACACCGAGGAUGAUCUUUUUCUAGGUUGUACCUGUUCGAGGUGUAGCUUAGGGUUACCGUGAUUCCCCUAGGAAUCAUAAACCUUAGUAAAUAUUUGGAAACU
Molecule: small RNA, 994 nt
Filed under: Arabidopsis thaliana (thale cress)
Lineage: Eukaryota; Viridiplantae; Streptophyta; Magnoliopsida; Brassicales; Brassicaceae
Description: ATSL086400
Source: RNAcentral